Cyanistes caeruleus (blue tit) is the source of this 553-nucleotide non-coding RNA. Lineage: Eukaryota; Metazoa; Chordata; Aves; Passeriformes; Paridae. The record is from RefSeq and is a predicted model, not a curated record.
UCCCGGGAAGGGAUGGACGGGGGUCCCCAGGAACCGGGGGUGGAUGCCCGGGGGUCCCCAGGAACCGGGACUGUCCCGGGAAGGGCUAACCGGGGGUCCCGGGGGUCCCCGUGAACCGGGCAGCGUUUGGGGAGGGGGCUCCCUGGAUGUGGGGGGAUCCCGAGGGUCCCGGCUGGGCCCCCCCAGGUGCCCUCGGUGCAGGACACGGUGCAGGAGCACCUGGGACAGGUGAGGGCGGGGGGAGCCCAGGCCCUGCCCGAGCGCGACCGCGCCGAGCUCAAGAGGAGGAAGCUGCUCCUGGAAGUGACCCUCAAAUCCUUCUGGAUCCGCAAAGGCAGCGCCUUCAGCACGGCCGUGGCGCGGCCGGAGACGGAGCUGACCCCGGAGAUGAUCGCCACAGGCUCCUGGCGCCGCCUGCCCUUCAAACCCUACAAUUUCUCCUCGCUGGGGUUGCCCCCGGCCUGCGGCCACCUGCACCCGCUGCUGAAGGUGCGCUCGGAGCUGCGGCAGAUCUUCCUGGAGAUGGGGUGAGUGGGGGGCUCGGGGGGGCUCU